CAGUGUGGAGUUUUUGAAGACUUCCUACCUGGUCACCCCAGGCCUUCCUCAUGGUCACUGCUGACCCCAAGGCCAUCUGUGUCCAGCAGGAGCUCCCCCCGUAUUUGAGCUUCCCUUUUACAUCUUUCAGCUCUGCUGUGUGCUGCUGAACUUGAUCGUAGUGAAUGUUCUCCCCAUCAAAACCAUCUGUUUAUGCCUCUCCACAUUGCUGCUUUCCUUGGCAGCUCAGUCAGAAUGUAGGUUUUAAGGGGACCUCCGCAGCCGGGGGCCGCUCUAUGCUUCGGCUUCUUCACCUGCAAAGUGGGGAAGACAGUGGCAGCUGCCUCCCAGGGCUGUGACGAUCAAAUGGUUGAAUGUAGAAAAAGCACGUAGAGUGGGCCCCAUGAGACUUAGGAACAACUUGACUCU
This 408-nucleotide long non-coding RNA is filed under the name Dasypus novemcinctus (nine-banded armadillo). RNAcentral's name for it is "lncRNA (ENSDNOG00000050612.1)". The record is from RNAcentral. Lineage: Eukaryota; Metazoa; Chordata; Mammalia; Cingulata; Dasypodidae.